Molecule: ribosomal RNA, 624 nt
Filed under: uncultured bacterium
Lineage: Bacteria
Description: bacterial SSU rRNA
Rfam family: Bacterial small subunit ribosomal RNA
Source: RNAcentral
CGGGUGAGUAACACGUAGGUAAUUUGCCUUCGGGUGGGGAAUAACAGCCGGAAACGGCUGCUAAUACCGCAUAAUGCAGCGGCUCGACAUCGAGACAGUUGUUAAAGCGGGGGAUCGCAAGACCUCGCGCCUGAAGAGAAGCCUGCGGCAGAUUAGCUAGUUGGUAGGGUAAUGGCCUACCAAGGCGACGAUCUGUAACCGGCCUGAGAGGGCGGUCGGUCACACUGACACUGACAUACGGGUCAGACUCCUACGGGAGGCAGCAGUCGGGAAUUUUGGGCAAUGGGCGAAAGCCUGACCCAGCAACGCCGCGUGAAGGAUGAAAUCCCUCGGGAUGUAAACUUCGCAAGAAUGGGAAGAAUAAGAGUGGGCUAAUACUCCACUUGAUGACGGUACCAUUUGUAAGCUCCGGCUAACUCCGUGCCAGCAGCCGCGGUAAUACGGGGGGAGCAAGCGUUGUUCGGAUUUACUGGGCGUAAAGGGCGCGUAGGCGGCCACGACAAGUCACUUGUGAAAUCCCCGGGCUUAACUCGGAACGGUCAAGUGAUACUGUCGGGCUAGAGUGCAGAAGGGGCAACUGGAAUUCUCGGUGUAGCGGUGAAAUGCGUAGAUAUCGAGAGGAAC